GGUGGGAGCUGGGGGAGGCUCCAGUGGGGAGCAGGAGAAGGGUAUCCGGAGUUGUAAGUGAGGUCAGCGGCUGUGAGGGCUGCUGCUUGCUCUCUCCAGGAGAUGAUUCUGCUUCCGUCGCGGCCAUUUCCUGUGUUUCUCUCUCCUGUAGGGCCAGGCAGCAUCAGCACAAAAACAGGAUCCAAGCUGCUUGAGAAUUGCCUUGAUAACAAUGACUUAGGAGACAGCACUGGAUGGGGUGAACGCCAGCUCCCUGCUCCUGAACAGCCCUAAGGUAUGGAUUUAUGGUAGGGAAUGAACAGCCAGAAAGAGAAAUCCAGAGUGACCCCCAAGCCUACCGGCAGCUCCAUUCAUCCCCACAGUGGCAAAGCAAAUGCAUUGUCCAUCUGUGGCUCCUAGCCCACCUGCAGCCAGCGAGGACCAAGC
Molecule: long non-coding RNA, 426 nt
Organism: Gallus gallus (chicken)
Lineage: Eukaryota; Metazoa; Chordata; Aves; Galliformes; Phasianidae
Source: Ensembl